CCGGAAGGGGGGAUGCUUCCUGCAGUCGACGGCAGCACGGGUGCUUGCACCUGGUGGCGAGUGGCGAACGGGUGAGUAAUAUAUCGGAACGUACCUUGUAGUGGGGGAUAGCUCGGCGAAAGCCGGAUUAAUACCGCAUACGCUCUGAGGAGGAAAGCGGGGGACCUUCGGGCCUCGCGCUACAAGAGCGGCCGAUAUCAGAUUAGCUAGUUGGUGGGGUAAAAGCUUACCAAGGCGACGAUCUGUAGGUGGUCUGAAAGGACGACCAACCACACUGGGACUGAGACGCGGCCCAUACUCCUACGGGAGGCAGCAGUGGGGAAUUUUGGACCAUGGGCGAAAGCCUGAUCCAGCAAUGCCGCGUGUGUGAAGAAGGCCUUCGGGUUGUAAAGCCCUUUUGUACGGAAAGAAAUCCUCUGGGUUAAUACCUCCGGGGGAUGACGGUACCGGAAGAAUAAGCACCGGCUAACUACGUGCCAGCAGCCGCGGUAAUACGUAUGGUGCGAGGGGUAAUCGGAAUUACUGGGCGUAAAGCGUGCGCAGGCGGUUUUGUAAGACAGAUGUGAAAUCCCCGGGCUCAACCUGGGAACUGCAUUCGUGACUGCAAAGAUAUAGUAUGGCACAGGGGGGUAGAAUUCCACGCGUAGCAGUGAAAUGCGCAGAGAUGUGGAAGAAUACCGAUGGCGAAGGCAGCCCCCUGCGCCGAUACUGACCCUCAUGCACGAAAGCGUGUAGAUCAAACAGGAUUAGAUACCCUGGUAGUCCACGCCCUAAACGAUGUCAACUAGCUGUUGAGGAUUCAUUUCCUUAGUAACGUAGCUACGCGUGAAGUUGACCGCCUGGGGAGUACAGUCUCAGAUUAAUACUCAAGGAAUUGACGGGACCGCACAGCGGCGUAUGAUGCGGAUAAUCGAUGCACGCUAUAACCUUACCUACCUUGACAUGUACGAGUCGCUGAAAGUGAUGUGUCGAAGAAGACGUACACAGUGCUGCAUGCUGU
Molecule: ribosomal RNA, 1000 nt
Filed under: Pandoraea sputorum
Lineage: Bacteria; Pseudomonadati; Pseudomonadota; Betaproteobacteria; Burkholderiales; Burkholderiaceae
Description: bacterial SSU rRNA
Rfam family: Bacterial small subunit ribosomal RNA
Source: RNAcentral